This is a non-coding RNA of Phascolarctos cinereus (koala), 579 nucleotides long. NCBI's taxonomy places the organism in Eukaryota, Metazoa, Chordata, Mammalia, Diprotodontia, Phascolarctidae. The record is from RefSeq and is a predicted model, not a curated record.
GAAGUCAAGACAAUCUGGAUGCCAAACGAGAACCUAGAAUUCUGAUAUCUCUGGGCAACAGUGUAACAGACUUGUUGGGGUUAGGAUCAUGCCAUCUACACCAGGAUCAUCCCAUCUAAGCUCAAGGAUACUCAUCACCAGGCUGGCUAAAGGAUGAUUUUUUCAGGAACAGAAACUCACAAUUCAUCUCCUAAGUUAUUGAGAAUUAUGAUCAGGAUUGGUGGAAAGAGGUCCCUUAGCAACAUAAAUACAGAUGAAGACAUUGAUACUCAAGAACAUGAAAUGACUUGCUGAAAGUCAUAUGAGUAGGAGUAAGCAUCAAAAGUAAGAUUUGAACCCACAUCCUCUAAACUGCUAAGCCAACACUCUUUUUACCAAACCAUAGUCCUGAGUCCUUAUUGUGAAAUCAGCCAAGAUGGUUGAGGAGAAAGCAGUAAGUUGAAACUACCAGUUGCUCCAACAAAGACCUAAGAAGAAUGCCAGACUGAACAGCAGUUAGUAAAUCUAAGGAGGACUCAUAAUGAAUCAUCUUUCCAGCUCAAGAUCCCAAAUUCAACUAACAGGCAAGUGAUAAAGGCA